Molecule: transfer RNA, 85 nt
Filed under: Candidatus Liptonbacteria bacterium
Lineage: Bacteria; Candidatus Liptoniibacteriota
Description: tRNA-Ser
Rfam family: tRNA
About the family: Transfer RNA (tRNA) molecules are approximately 80 nucleotides in length. Their secondary structure includes four short double-helical elements and three loops (D, anti-codon, and T loops). Further hydrogen bonds mediate the characteristic L-shaped molecular structure. tRNAs have two regions of fundamental functional importance: the anti-codon, which is responsible for specific mRNA codon recognition, and the 3' end, to which the tRNAs corresponding amino acid is attached (by aminoacyl-tRNA synthetases). tRNAs cope with the degeneracy of the genetic code in two manners: having more than one tRNA (with a specific anti-codon) for a particular amino acid; and 'wobble' base-pairing, i.e. permitting non-standard base-pairing at the 3rd anti-codon position.
Source: RNAcentral
GGUGAGGUGGCUGAGUGGUCUAAAGCACCGGUCUUGAAAACCGGCACACCGCAAGGUGUCGUGAGUUCGAAUCUCACCCUCACCG